Escherichia coli 83972 is the source of this 210-nucleotide non-coding RNA. Lineage: Bacteria; Pseudomonadati; Pseudomonadota; Gammaproteobacteria; Enterobacterales; Enterobacteriaceae. The record is from Rfam.
UCAGACUGGGCAUUUGUUAAAAAAAUUUCGCAUGGUGAAUCCCCCUGAGCGGAGGGGCGACUGGUGACGGUAUAAUCUCUGAUUAUCAAAACGAGAAUGACGCGGGUUUAGUGGCACCGGGCUGAACUCACCGGGAGGCACCCGGCACCAUGUGCAUGAUGAUACAGAUACGCGGCUUUAGCCCCUCUCCGGAGGGGCUUUCUUGUGGGC